RNAcentral lists this ribosomal RNA (704 nucleotides) under Paenibacillus sp. RNAcentral describes it as "bacterial SSU rRNA". It matches the Rfam family "Bacterial small subunit ribosomal RNA", at positions 769 to 1470 of the family's 1533-position model. The record is from RNAcentral. Lineage: Bacteria; Bacillati; Bacillota; Bacilli; Caryophanales; Paenibacillaceae.
CAAACAGGAUUAGAUACCCUGGUAGUCCACGCCGUAAACGAUGAAUGCUAGGUGUUAGGGGUUUCGAUACCCUUGGUGCCGAAGUUAACACAUUAAGCAUUCCGCCUGGGGAGUACGGUCGCAAGACCGAAACUCAAAGGAAUUGACGGGGACCCGCACAAGCAGUGGAGUAUGUGGUUUAAUUCGAAGCAACGCGAAGAACCUUACCAGGUCUUGACAUCCCUCUGACCGGUCUAGAGAUAGGCCUUUCCUUCGGGACAGAGGAGACAGGUGGUGCAUGGUUGUCGUCAGCUCGUGUCGUGAGAUGUUGGGUUAAGUCCCGCAACGAGCGCAACCCUUAUGCUUAGUUGCCAGCAGGUCAAGCUGGGCACUCUAAGCAGACUGCCGGUGACAAACCGGAGGAAGGUGGGGAUGACGUCAAAUCAUCAUGCCCCUUAUGACCUGGGCUACACACGUACUACAAUGGCCGGUACAACGGGAAGCGAAGCCGCGAGGUGGAGCCAAUCCUAGAAAAGCCGGUUUCAGUUCGGAUUGUAGGCUGCAACUCGCCUACAUGAAGUUGGAAUUGCUAGUAAUCGCGGAUCAGCAUGCCGCGGGGAAUACGUUCCCGGGUCUUGUACACACCCCCCGUCACACCACGAGAGUUUACAACACCCGAAGUCGGUGAGGUAACCGCAAGGGGCCAGCCGCCGAAGGUGGGGUAG